UCGGGAAUUUUGGGCAAUGGGCGAAAGCCUGACCCAGCAACGCCGCGUGAGGGAUGAAGUAUUUCGGUAUGUAAACCUCGAAAGAAUGGGAAGAAUAAAUGACGGUACCAUUUAUAAGCUCCGGCUAACUACGUGCCAGCAGCCGCGGUAAUACGUAGGGGGCAAGCGUUGUCCGGAUUUACUGGGUGUAAAGGGCGCGCAGGCGGGAUAAAAAGUCAGUGGUGAAAUCCUACAGCUUAACUGUAGAACUGCCUUUGAUACUUUUAUUCUCGAGUUCGGGAGAGAGAGACGGAAUUCCAGGUGUAGUGGUGAAAUACGUAGAUAUCUGGAAGAACACCAGUUGCGAAGGCGGUCUCUUGGUCCGACACUGACGCUGAGGCGCGAAAGCGUGGGGAGCAAACA
Molecule: ribosomal RNA, 402 nt
Filed under: uncultured bacterium
Lineage: Bacteria
Description: bacterial SSU rRNA
Rfam family: Bacterial small subunit ribosomal RNA
Source: RNAcentral